GAGGGGUGUCACGGGGUAUGACUAUAUAGGUCUUGUAGAGGAGAAACAGGCGCAUCUUUUGCGCAAGGUAUUGAAGGGCGCUAUGUUCAAAUAUCUGAAACUAGAGCUCAAAAUAAAAAAAAAAAUGUUAAAAACAGGGGGGUUGGCCUAUUCCAUGGCUUCUAGAGAAAAAUAAUGAGGGGUGUCACGGGGUAUGACUAUAUAGGUCUUGUAGAGGAGAAACAGGCGCAUCUUUUGCGCAAGGUAUCGAAGGGCGCUAUGUUCAAAAAUCUGAAACUAGAGCUCAAAAUAAAAAAAAAAAUGUUGAAAACAGGGGGGUUGGCCUAUUCCAUGGCUUCUAGAGAAAAAUAAUGAGGGGUGUCACGGGAUAUGACUAUAUAGGUCUUGUAGAGGAGAAACAGGCGCAUCUUUUGCGCAAGGUAUCGAAGAGCGCUAUGUUCAAAAAUCUGAAACUAGAGCUCAAAAUUAAAAAAAAAAUGUUAAAAACAGGGGGGUUGGUCUAUUCCAUGGCUUCUAGAGAAAAAUAAUGAGGGGUGUCACGGGGUAUGACUAUAUAGGUCUUGUGGAGCAGAAACAGGCGCAUCUUUUGAGCAAGGUAUCGAAGGGCGCUAUGUUCAAAAAUCUGAAACUAGAGCUCAAAAUUAAAAAAAAAAAAAUGUUAAAAACAGGGGGUUGGCCUAUUCCAUGGCUUCUACAGAAAAAUAAUGAGGGGUGUCACGGGGUAUGACUAUACAGGUCUUGUAGAGGAGAAACAGGCGCAUCUUUUGCGCAAGGUAUCAACGGGCGCUAUGUUCAAAAAUCUGAAACUAGAGCUCAAAAUUAAAAAAAAAAUGUUAAAAACAGGGGGUUGGCUUAUUCCAUGGCUUCUAGAGAAAAAUAAUGAGGGGUGUCACGGGGUUUGACUAUAUUGGUCUUGUAGAGGAGAAACAGGCGCAUCUUUUGCGCAAGGUAUCGAAGGGCGCUAUGUUCAAAAAUCUGAAACUAGAGCUCAAAAUUAAAAAAAAAAAUGUUAAAAACAGGGGGGUUGGCCUAUUCCAUGGCUUCUAGAGAAAAAUAAUGAGGGGUGUCACGGGAUAUGACUAUAUAGGUCUUGUAGAGGAGGAACAGGCGCAUCUUCUGCGCAAGGUAUCGAAGGGCGCUAUGUUCAAAAAUCUGAAACUAGAGCUAAAAAUUUAAAAAAAAAUGUUAAAAACAGGGGGAUUGGCCUAUUCCAUGGCUUCUAGAGAAAAAUAAUGAGGGGUGUCACGGGAUAUGACUAUAUAGGUCUUGUAGAGGAGAAACAGGCGCAUCUUUUGCGCAAGGUAUCGAAGGGCGCUAUGUUCAAAAAUCUUAAACUAGAGCUCAAAUUUUUAAAAAAAAAUGUUAAAAACAGGGGGGUUGGCCUAUUCCAUGCCUUCUAGAGAAAAAUAAUGAGGGGUGUCACGGGAUAUGACUAUAUUGGUCUUGUAGAAGAGAAACAGGCGCAUCUUUUGCGCAAGGUAUCGAAAGGCGCUAUGUUCAAAAAUCUGAAACUAGAGCUCAAAAUUAAAAAAAAAAAAAUGUUAAAAACAGGGGGGUUGGCCUAUUCCAUGGCUUCUAGAGAAAAAUAAUGACGGGUGUCACGGAGUAUGACUAUACAGGUCUUGUAGAGGAGAAACAGGCGCAUCUUUUGCGCAAGGUAUCGAAGGGCGCUAUGUUCAAAAAUCUGAAACUAGAGCUCAAAAUUAAAAAAAAAAAAUGUUAAAAACAGGGGGGUUGGCCUAUUCCAUGGCUUCUAGAGAAAAAUAAUGAGGGGUGUCACGGGAUAUGACUAUAUAGGUCUUGUAGAAGAGAAACAGGCGCAUCUUUUGCGCAAGGUAUCGAAGGGCGCUAUGUUCAAAAAUCUGAAACUAGAGCUCAAAAUUAAAAAAAAAAAAUGUUAAAAACAGGGGGGUUGGCCUAUUCAAUGGCUUCUAGAGAAAAACAAUGAGGGGUGUCACGGAGUAUGACUAUACAGGUCUUGUAGAAGAGAAACAGGCGCAUCUUUUGCGCAAGGUAUCGAAGGGCGCUAUGUUCAGAAAUCUGAAACAAGAGCUCAAAAUUAAAAAAAAAAAUGUUAAAAACAGGGGGGUUGGCCUAUUCCAUGGCUUCUAGAGAAAAAUAAUGAGGGGUGUCACGGGGUAUGACUAUAUAGGUCUUGUAGAGGAGAAACAGGCGCAUCUUUUGCGCAAGGUAUCGAAGGGCGCUAUGUUCAAAAAUCUUAAACUAGAGCUCAAAAUUAAAAAAAAAAAUGUUAAAAACAGGGGGGUUGGCCUAUUCCAUGGCUUCUAGAGAAAAAUAAUGAGGGGUGUCACGGGAUAUGACUAUAUAGGUCUUGUAGAGGAGAAACAGGCGCAUCUUUUGCGCAAGGUAUCGAAGGGCGCUAUGUUCAAAAAUCUGAAACUAGAGCUCAAAAUUAAAAAAAAAAAUCUUAAAAACAGGGGGGUUGGCCUAUUCCAUGGCUUCUAGAGAAAAGUAAUGAGGGGUGUCACGGGAUAUGACUAUAUUGGUCUUGUAGAGGAGAAACAGGCGCAUCUUUUGCGUAAGGUAUCGAAGGGUGCUAUGUUCAAAAAUCUUAAACUAGAGCUCAAAAUUAAAAAAAAAAAUGUUAAAAACAGGGGGGUUGGCCUAUUCCAUGCCUUCUAGAGAAAAAUAAUGAGGGGUGUCACGGAGUAUGACUAUACAGGUCUUGUAGAGCAGAAACAGGCGCAUCUUUUGCGCAAGGUAUCGAAGGGCGCUAUGUUAAAAAAUCUGAAACUAGAGCUCAAAAUUUAAAAAAAAAAAUGUUAAAAACAGGGGGGGUUGGCCUAUUCCAUGGUUUCUAGAGAAAAAUAAUGAGGGGUGUCACGGAGUAUGACUAUACAGGUCUUGUAGAGGAGAAACAGGCGCAUCUUUUGCGCAAGGUAUCGAAGGGCGCUAUGUUCAAAAAUCUGAAACUAGAGCUCAAAAUUAAAAAAAAAAUGUUAAAAACAGGGGGGUUGGCCUAUUCAAUGGCUUCUAGAGAAAAAUAAUGAGGGGUGUCACGGGGUAUGACUAUAUAGGUCUUGUAGAGCAGAAACAGGCGCAUCUUUUGCGCAAGGUAUCGAAGGGCGCUAUGUUCAAAAAUCUGAAACUAGAGCUCAAAAUUAAAAAAAAAAUUGUUAAAAACAGGGGGGGUUGGCCUAUUCCAUGGUUUCUAGAGAAAAAUAAUGAGGGGUGUCACGGAGUAUGACUAUACAGGUCUUGUAGAGGAGAAACAGGCGCAUCUUUUGCGCAAGGUAUCGAAGGGCGCUAUGUUCAAAAAUCUGAAACUAGAGCUCAAAAUUAAAAAAAAAAUGUUAAAAACAGGGGGGUUGGCCUAUUCAAUGGCUUCUAGAGAAAAAUAAUGAGGGGUGUCACGGGGUAUGACUAUAUAGGUCUUGUAGAGGAG
Molecule: long non-coding RNA, 3406 nt
Organism: Mytilus californianus (California mussel)
Lineage: Eukaryota; Metazoa; Mollusca; Bivalvia; Mytilida; Mytilidae
Exons: 10
Source: RefSeq, a predicted model, not a curated record